CAGCCGCCGCGGGAAUACGAAGGGGGCUAGCGUUGUUCGGAAUUACUGGGCGUAAAGCGCACGUAGGCGGACAUUUAAGUCAGGGGUGAAAUCCCGGGGCUCAACCCCGGAACUGCCUUUGAUACUGGGUGUCUAGAGUAUGGAAGAGGUGAGUGGAAUUCCGAGUGUAGAGGUGAAAUUCGUAGAUAUUCGGAGGAACACCAGUGGCGAAGGCGGCUCACUGGUCCAUUACUGACGCUGAGGUGCGAAAGCGUGGGGAGCAAACAGGAUUAGAUACCCGCGUAGUCCCUGUCUCUUAUAC
Molecule: ribosomal RNA, 301 nt
Filed under: uncultured bacterium
Lineage: Bacteria
Description: partial 16S ribosomal RNA
Rfam family: Bacterial small subunit ribosomal RNA
Source: RNAcentral